GGCCGGUAUGAAUGGCGUUACGAAGGCCCCACUGUCUUAAGAGGACUCUCCAUGAAAUUGAAUUCGUAGUGAAGAUGCUACGUCCAUAUUGUAAGACGAAAAGACCCCAUUGAGCUUUACUAAAGACUUGCAUGGCUCAAAAUAAUUUGACUUAAAUAAAAAGUUUAGAUAAUGUGGGACCCGUUUCCGGUUAAUGAAACACCACUCUUUUAUUUUAAGAGAGCUAACAUUACAGGGAUAGUGUAAGUUGGAUAGUUUGGUUGGGGCGACCACCUUUUAAAAGGUAACGAAGGUGAGCUUAAGGUCCGUAGUUAAUAGCCGGUGGCCUGACUGCAAGGGGGACGUCUCGAGCAGACACGUCCUUAGGGAUGUGGACUAUAGUGACCCGUCAUCUUAGUGUGGAAUAGUUGACGAU
RNAcentral lists this ribosomal RNA (415 nucleotides) under Anthopleura nigrescens. Its description in RNAcentral is "partial 16S ribosomal RNA". It matches the Rfam family "Bacterial large subunit ribosomal RNA", at positions 1985 to 2449 of the family's 2925-position model. The record is from RNAcentral. Lineage: Eukaryota; Metazoa; Cnidaria; Anthozoa; Actiniaria; Actiniidae.